RNAcentral lists this ribosomal RNA (253 nucleotides) under uncultured bacterium. RNAcentral's name for it is "partial 16S ribosomal RNA". It matches the Rfam family "Bacterial small subunit ribosomal RNA", at positions 524 to 776 of the family's 1533-position model. The record is from RNAcentral.
UACGUAGGGCGCGAGCGUUAUCCGGAGUUACUGGGCGUAAAGCGCGGGCAGGCGGUCUGGCAAGUCUGAUGUGAGAUCUCCGGGCUCAACCGGGAGAGGCCAUUGGAAACUGACAGGCUGGAGGGCAGUAGAGGUAGGCGGAAUUCCGGGUGGAGUGGUGAAAUGCGUAGAGAUCCGGAGGAACACCUGAGGCGAAGGCGGCCUACUGGGCUGCACCUGACGCUGAGCCGCGAAAGCCAGGGGAGCGAACGGG